Molecule: ribosomal RNA, 495 nt
Filed under: uncultured bacterium
Lineage: Bacteria
Description: partial 16S ribosomal RNA
Rfam family: Bacterial small subunit ribosomal RNA
Source: RNAcentral
GACGAACGCUGGCGGCGUGCCUAAUACAUGCAAGUCGAACGCUGAAGGAGGAGCUUGCUUCUCUGGAUGAGUUGCGAACGGGUGAGUAACGCGUAGGUAACCUGCCUGGUAGCGGGGGAUAACUAUUGGAAACGAUAGCUAAUACCGCAUAAGAGUAGAUGUUGCAUGACAUUUGCUUAAAAGGUGCAAUUGCAUCACUACCAGAUGGACCUGCGUUGUAUUAGCUAGUUGGUGGGGUAACGGCUCACCAAGGCGACGAUACAUAGCCGACCUGAGAGGGGGAUCGGCCACACUGGGACUGGGAACCGGCCCAAACUCCUUCGGGAAGCAGCAGUAGGGAAUCUUCGGCAAUGGACGGAAGUCUGACCGAGCAAAGCCGCGUGAGGGAAGAAAGUUUUCGGAUCGUAAAGCUCUGUUGUAAGAGAAGAACGAGUGUUAGAGUUGAAAGUUCACACUGUGACGGUAGCUUACCAGAAAGGGACGGCUAACUACGUG